RNAcentral lists this ribosomal RNA (800 nucleotides) under uncultured bacterium. RNAcentral's name for it is "bacterial SSU rRNA". It matches the Rfam family "Bacterial small subunit ribosomal RNA", at positions 8 to 789 of the family's 1533-position model. The record is from RNAcentral.
AGAGUUUGAUCCUGGCUCAGAAUCAACGCUGGCGGCGUGCCUAACACAUGCAAGUCGAACGCGAAAGGGACUUCGGUCCUGAGUAGAGUGGCGAACGGGUGAGUAACGCGUGGGUGACCUACCCUCAAGUGGGGGAUAACGUUCCGAAAGGGACGCUAAUACCGCAUGAUAUUCCGGGUUUGAAGACCUGGAAAUCAAAGCCGGGGACCGCAAGGCCUGGCGCUAGAGGAGGGGCCCGCGUCUGAUUAGCUAGUUGGCGGGGUAACGGCCCACCAAGGCGACGAUCAGUAGCCGGCCUGAGAGGGCGGACGGCCACACUGGGACUGAGACACGGCCCAGACUCCUACGGGAGGCAGCAGUGGGGAAUUGUUCGCAAUGGGCGCAAGCCUGACGACGCAACGCCGCGUGGAGGAUGAAGGUCUUCGGAUUGUAAACUCCUGUUGAUCGGGACGAAAAGCUCCAACCUAAUACGUUGGAGACUGACGGUACCGGUUGAGGAAGCCACGGCUAACUCUGUGCCAGCAGCCGCGGUAAUACAGAGGUGGCAAGCGUUGUUCGGAAUUACUGGGCGUAAAGGGCGCGUAGGCGGCCUUCUAAGUCGGACGUGAAAGCCCCAGGCUUAACCUGGGAACUGCGUCCGAUACUGGGAGGCUUGGAUUCGGGAGAGGGAUGCGGAAUUCCAGGUGUAGCGGUGAAAUGCGUAGAUAUCUGGAGGAACACCGGUGGCGAAGGCGGCAUCCUGGACCGAGAUCGACGCUGAGGCGCGAAAGCUAGGGGAGCAAACGGGAUUAGAUACCCCG